This 440-nucleotide ribosomal RNA is filed under the name uncultured bacterium. RNAcentral's name for it is "partial 16S ribosomal RNA". It matches the Rfam family "Bacterial small subunit ribosomal RNA", at positions 338 to 795 of the family's 1533-position model. The record is from RNAcentral.
CCUACGGGCGGCAGCAGUGGGGGAUAUUGCACAAUGGGGGAAACCCUGAUGCAGCGACGCCGCGUGAGUGAAGAAGUAUUUCGGGAUGUAAAGCUCUAUCAGCAGGGACGAAAAUGACAGUACCUGACCAAGAAGCCCCGGCUAACUACGUGCCAGCAGCCGCGGUAAUACGUAGGGGGCAAGCGUUAUCCGGAUUUACUGGGUGUAAAGGGAGCGUAGACGGUUAUGUAAGUCUGGAGUGAAAGCCCGGGGCUCAACCCCGGGACUGCUUUGGAAACUGUGUAACUGGAGUACAGGAGGGGCAGACGGAAUUCCUGGUGUAGCGGUGAAAUGCGUAGAUAUCAGGAGGAACACCGGCGGCGAAGGCGGUCUGCUGGACUGAAACUGACGUUGAGGCUCGAAAGCGUGGGGAGCAAACAGGAUUAGAUACCCUUGUAGUC